CCCAGCCUCAAUCAGUACCCAUCAGUGUAAGAUGACACCAAAGUUGAAAUUGAUUGGCCAGUUCUACCUGAUUCCCUGGUUGUACAGGAAAUCCACUAAGCAUUUUGGCUUCUGACAUAGGCUGAAUUUCAUGAAGUUCACAGCACUGGACACAGAUGAUUCUAGUUUAACUAUCCAAGGCCAAGUUGGGAGGGAGAAUUCAAGAAGAUGCUCUUUCAAAAGCUGCCUCAUGGAGCCAUAUUGUUCAUGCUUUUCCAGGAAAUCUCCAACAACUACUCAUCAUUAGCAUACCCAGUGAGUAUGAGAUUGUGCCCUUUCUGAAUGCACCAGGAGAGAACUUGAAGCUCAUCCUUGGAUGACCACACCGGGCUUCCAUGCCACACGCUCCUUGGGAAUGUCUCCAAAGGCUCAUGUGCAGCCCCAGCCCCAUUCAAUCAAUAAACUAGCCAUCCACGGGA
Long non-coding RNA from Odocoileus virginianus texanus, 458 nucleotides. RefSeq lists it as uncharacterized. The record is from RefSeq and is a predicted model, not a curated record. NCBI's taxonomy places the organism in Eukaryota, Metazoa, Chordata, Mammalia, Artiodactyla, Cervidae.